GAUUAAGUUAUUAAGGGCGCACGGUGGAUGCCUUGGCACUAGAAGCCGAUGAAGGACGUUACUAACGACGAUAUGCUUUGGGGAGCUGUAAGUAAGCUUUGAUCCAGAGAUUUCCGAAUGGGGAAACCCAGCAUGAGUUAUGUCAUGUUAUCGAUAUGUGAAUACAUAGCAUAUCAGAAGGCACACCCGGAGAACUGAAACAUCUUAGUACCCGGAGGAAGAGAAAGAAAAUUCGAUUCCCUUAGUAGCGGCGAGCGAAACGGGAAGAGCCCAAACCAACAAGCUUGCUUGUUGGGGUUGUAGGACACUCUAUACGGAGUUACAAAGGACGACAUUAGACGAAUCAUCUGGAAAGAUGAAUCAAAGAAGGUAAUAAUCCUGUAGUCGAAAAUGUUGUCUCUCUUGAGUGGAUCCUGAGUACGACGGAGCACGUGAAAUUCCGUCGGAAUCUGGGAGGACCAUCUCCUAAGGCUAAAUACUCUCUAGUGACCGAUAGUGAACCAGUACCGUGAGGGAAAGGUGAAAAGCACCCCGGAAGGGGAGUGAAAUAGAACCUGAAACCGUGUGCUUACAAGUAGUCAGAGCCCGUUAAUGGGUGAUGGCGUGCCUUUUGUAGAAUGAACCGGCGAGUUACGAUUUGAUGCAAGGUUAAGCAGUAAAUGUGGAGCCGUAGCGAAAGCGAGUCUGAAUAGGGCGUUUAGUAUUUGGUCGUAGACCCGAAACCAGGUGAUCUACCCUUGGUCAGGUUGAAGUUCAGGUAACACUGAAUGGAGGACCGAACCGACUUACGUUGAAAAGUGAGCGGAUGAACUGAGGGUAGCGGAGAAAUUCCAAUCGAACCUGGAGAUAGCUGGUUCUCUCCGAAAUAGCUUUAGGGCUAGCCUCAAGUGAUGAUUAUUGGAGGUAGAGCACUGUUUGGACGAGGGGCCCCUCUCGGGUUACCGAAUUCAGACAAACUCCGAAUGCCAAUUAAUUUAACUUGGGAGUCAGAACAUGGGUGAUAAGGUCCGUGUUCGAAAGGGAAACAGCCCAGACCACCAGCUAAGGUCCCAAAAUAUAUGUUAAGUGGAAAAGGAUGUGGCGUUGCCCAGACAACUAGGAUGUUGGCUUAGAAGCAGCCAUCAUUUAAAGAGUGCGUAAUAGCUC
Molecule: ribosomal RNA, 1146 nt
Filed under: Staphylococcus aureus
Lineage: Bacteria; Bacillati; Bacillota; Bacilli; Caryophanales; Staphylococcaceae
Description: partial 23S ribosomal RNA
Rfam family: Bacterial large subunit ribosomal RNA
Source: RNAcentral